GAUGAACGCUAGCGACAGGCUUAACACAUGCAAGUCGAGGGGCAGCGGGUUGAAAGCUUGCUUUCAAUGCCGGCGACCGGCGCACGGGUGCGUAACGCGUAUGCAACCUACCCAUAAGAGGGGAAUAACCCGGCGAAAGUCGGACUAAUACCGCAUAAAGCAGGGGCUCCGCAUGGAGAUAUUUGCUAAAGAUUUUAUCGCUUAUGGAUGGGCAUGCGUUCCAUUAGGUAGUUGGUUUGGGGUAACGGCCCACCAAGCCUACGAUGGAUAGGGGUUCUGAGAGGAAGGUCCCCCACACUGGUACUGAGACACGGACCAGACUCCUACGGGAGGCAGCAGUGAGGAAUAUUGGUCAAUGGACGAGAGUCUGAACCAGCCAAGUCGCGUGAAGGAUGAAGGAUCUAUGGUUCGUAAACUUCUUUUAUUGGGGAAUAACGACCGGCACGUGUGCCGGGAACGAAUGUACCCAUAUGAAUAAGCAUCGGCUAACUCCGUGCCAGCAGCCGCGGUAAUACGGAGGAUGCGAGCGUUAUCCGGAUUUAUUGGGUUUAAAGGGUGCGUAGGUGGACUUAUAAGUCAGCGGUGAAAGUUUGUGGCUCAACCAUAAAAUUGCCGUUGAAACUGUUAGUCUUGAGUAUGUUUGAGGUAGGCGGAAUGCGUGGUGUAGCGGUGAAAUGCUUAGAUAUCACGCAGAACUCCAAUUGCGAAGGCAGCUUACUAAACCAUAACUGACACUGAAGCACGAAAGCGUGGGUAUCAAACAGGAUUAGAUACCCUGGUAGUCCACGCAGUAAACGAUGAUUACUAGGAGUUUGCGAUACACAGUAAGCUCUACAGCGAAAGCGUUAAGUAAUCCACCUGGGGAGUACGCCGGCAACGGUGAAACUCAAAGGAAUUGACGGGGGCCCGCACAAGCGGAGGAACAUGUGGUUUAGUUCGAUGAUACGCGAGGAACCUUACCCGGGUUUGAACGCAUUUGGACAGGCGGUGAAAGCCGCUCUCUAGCAAUAGCCAUUUGCGAGGUGCUGCAUGGUUGUCGUCAGCUCGUGCCGUGAGGUGUCGGCUUAAGUGCCAUAACGAGCGCAACCCUUAUUGAUAGUUACCAGCAUGUAAAGAUGGGGACUCUAUCAAGACUGCCAGCGUAAGCUGUGAGGAAGGUGGGGAUGACGUCAAAUCAGCACGGCCCUUACAUCCGGGGCGACACACGUGUUACAAUGGCGUGGACAAAGAGCAGCUACCAGGUGACUGGAUGCUAAUCUCCAAACCACGUCUCAGUUCGGAUCGGAGUCUGCAACUCGACUCCGUGAAGCUGGAUUCGCUAGUAAUCGCGCAUCAGCCAUGGCGCGGUGAAUACGUUCCCGGGCCUUGUACACACCGCCCGUCAAGCCAUGGGAGUUGGGGGUACCUAAAGUCCGUAACCGCAAGGAUCGGCCUAGGGUAAAACCGAUGACUGGGGC
Molecule: ribosomal RNA, 1457 nt
Filed under: uncultured Porphyromonadaceae bacterium
Lineage: Bacteria; Pseudomonadati; Bacteroidota; Bacteroidia; Bacteroidales; Porphyromonadaceae
Description: 16S ribosomal RNA
Rfam family: Bacterial small subunit ribosomal RNA
Source: RNAcentral